Molecule: ribosomal RNA, 407 nt
Filed under: uncultured bacterium
Lineage: Bacteria
Description: partial 16S ribosomal RNA
Rfam family: Bacterial small subunit ribosomal RNA
Source: RNAcentral
AUUGAACGCUGGCGGCAGGCCUAACACAUGCAAGUCGAGCGGGGCGGCGGACGGGUGAGUAAUGCCUAUGAAUCUGCCUGGUCGUUGGGGAUAAAGUCCGGAAACGGGCGGUAAUACCGCAUACUCUCUGUUGAGCCUAGGUGGGAUUAGCUAGUUGGUGGGGUAAAGGCCUACCAAGGCGACGACCCGUAGCUGGUCUGAGAGGAUGAUCAGUCACACUGGAACUGAGACACGGUCCAGACUCCUACGGGAGGCAGCAGUGGGGAAUAUUGGACAAUGGGCGAAAGCCUGAUCCAGCCAUGCCGCGUGUGUGAAGAAGGUCUUCGGAUUGUAAAGUACUUUAAGUUGGGAGGCGUUACCAACAGAAGAAGCACCGGCUAACUUCGUGCCAGCAGCCGCGGUAAUAC